RNAcentral lists this microRNA (22 nucleotides) under Zea mays. RNAcentral describes it as "zma-miR395o-5p". Its record names the gene zma-miR395o-5p. Lineage: Eukaryota; Viridiplantae; Streptophyta; Magnoliopsida; Poales; Poaceae. The record is from miRBase by way of RNAcentral.
GUUCUCUUCAAGCACUUCACGA